Molecule: ribosomal RNA, 433 nt
Filed under: uncultured bacterium
Lineage: Bacteria
Description: partial 16S ribosomal RNA
Rfam family: Bacterial small subunit ribosomal RNA
Source: RNAcentral
AACGAACGCUGGCGGCAUGCCUAACACAUGCAAGUCGAACGAGACCUUCGGGUCUAGUGGCGCACGGGUGCGUAACGCGUGGGAACCUGCCCUUAGGUUCGGAAUAACUCCCAGAAAGGGGUGCUAAUACCGGAUAAUGUCUUCGGACCAAAGAUUUAUCGCCUUUGGAUGGGCCCGCGUUGGAUUAGCUAGUUGGUAGGGUAAAAGCCUACCAAGGAGACGAUCCAUAGCUGGUCUGAGAGGAUGAUCAGCCACACUGGGACUGAGACACGGCCCAGACUCCUACGGGAGGCAGCAGGGGGGAAUAUUGGACAAUGGGCGAAAGCCUGAUCCAGCAAUGCCGCGUGAGUGAUGAAGGCCUUAGGGUUGUAAAGCUCUUUUACCCGGGAUGAUAAUGACAGUACCGGGAGAAUAAGCUCCGGCUAACUCCGUG